GCGUGAUUGCAGAUUCCGUGAAUCGUCGAGUCUUUGAACGCACAUUGCGCCCCCUGGUAUUCCGGGGGGCAUGCCUGUCCGAGCGUCAUUGCUGCCCAUCAAGCACGGCUUGUGUGUUGGGUCGUCGUCCCCUCUCCGGGGGGGACGGGCCCCAAAGGCAGCGGCGGCACCGCGUCCGAUCCUCGAGCGUAUGGGGCUUUGUCACCCGCUCUGUAGGCCCGGCCGGCGCUUGCCGAACGCAAAUCAAUCUUUUCCAGGUUGACCUCGGAUCAGGUAGGGAUACCCGCUGAACUUAAGCAUAUCAAUAAGCGGAGGAA
This 317-nucleotide ribosomal RNA is filed under the name Fusarium solani. Its description in RNAcentral is "eukaryotic LSU rRNA". The stretch from base 1 to 88 matches the Rfam family "5.8S ribosomal RNA", at positions 65 to 154 of the family's 154-position model. The record is from RNAcentral. Lineage: Eukaryota; Fungi; Ascomycota; Sordariomycetes; Hypocreales; Nectriaceae.